AGGAAUAUGAAGGGGCAUCUGUCAUCCCAUUGAUCACCAGGGUUGAUUAGGCUGACCCAGCUAAGUGGGCCGAUGUCUGCCUCCUCUCUCACUGCCCCACAUGCCUCCCUUCUGAAGCUGUGGGCUCAGUUGAAAAGGAUUACCUUUCCUCAUAAAGGAGAACUGCUCUUCAGUCAAGGCAGCUAACUGAGUUCCCCUGCUAGAACCUCCAAACAAGCUCUCAAGGUCCACCAUCUCCCAAGGGCACCACACGCUGAUGAUCAAACUUUGAUACAUGGAGUUUUGGAGCCAU
This 292-nucleotide small nuclear RNA is filed under the name Nannospalax galili (Upper Galilee mountains blind mole rat). Its description in RNAcentral is "7SK RNA (ENSNGAG00000008940.1)". It matches the Rfam family "7SK RNA". From Rfam's summary of the family: 7SK was discovered as an abundant small nuclear RNA in the mid-70s but a possible function has only recently been suggested. Two independent studies have found that 7SK RNA binds the CDK9/cyclin T complex (known as elongation factor P-TEFb). P-TEFb activates transcription by phosphorylating the C-terminal domain of RNA polymerase II. The record is from RNAcentral. Lineage: Eukaryota; Metazoa; Chordata; Mammalia; Rodentia; Spalacidae.